GGCUACACACGUGCUACAAUGGGUAGUACAGAGAGUCGCAAAGCCGCGAGGUGGAGCUAAUCUCAGAAAACUAUUCUUAGUUCGGAUUGUACUCUGCAACUCGAGUACAUGAAGUUGGAAUCGCUAGUAAUCGUGAAUCAGCAAUGUCGCGGUGAAUACGUUCUCGGGUCUUGUACACACCGCCCGUCACACCACGAGAGUUGGUUGCACCUGAAGUAGCAGGCCUAACCGUAAGGAGGGAUGCUCCGAGGGUGUGAUUAGCGAUUGGGGUGAAGUCGUAACAAGGUAUCCGUACGGGAACGU
RNAcentral lists this ribosomal RNA (303 nucleotides) under uncultured Fusobacterium sp. RNAcentral describes it as "bacterial SSU rRNA". It matches the Rfam family "Bacterial small subunit ribosomal RNA", at positions 1212 to 1513 of the family's 1533-position model. Lineage: Bacteria; Fusobacteriati; Fusobacteriota; Fusobacteriia; Fusobacteriales; Fusobacteriaceae. The record is from RNAcentral.